GUACUAGGAUUUACUCCGAAAGCGAAGAAACUUACAACAAAGAGUCCCUCCCGACUGUUUACCAAAAACACAGCACUCUGCUAACUCGUAAGAGGAUGUAUAGGGUGUGACGCCUGCCCGGUGCUCGAAGGUUAAUUGAUGGGGUUAGCAUUAGCGAAGCUCUUGAUCGAAGCCCGAGUAAACGGCGGCCGUAACUAUAACGGUCCUAAGGUAGCGAAAUUCCUUGUCGGUUAAAUACCGACCUGCAUGAAUGGCGUAACGAGAUGGGAGCUGUCUCAAAGAGGGAUCCAGUGAAAUUGUAGUGGAGGUGAAAAUUCCUCCUACCCGCGGCAAGACGGAAAGACCCCGUGGACCUUUACUACAGCUUGACACUGCUAUUUGGAUAAGAAUGUGCAGGAUAGGUGGGAGGCUUUGAGUAUAUGACGCCAGUUGUAUAGGAGCCAUUGUUGAGAUACCACUCUUUCUUAUUUGGGUAGCUAACCAGCUUGAGUUAUCCUCAAGUGGGACAAUGUCUGGUGGGUAGUUUGACUGGGGCGGUCGCCUCCCAAAUAAUAACGGAGGCUUACAAAGGUUGGCUCAGAACGGUUGGAAAUCGUUCAUAGAGUAUAAAGGUAUAAGCCAGCUUAACUGCAAGACAUACAAGUCAAGCAGAGACGAAAGUCGGUCUUAGUGAUCCGGUGGUUCUGUGUGGAAGGGCCAUCGCUCAAAGGAUAAAAGGUACCCCGGGGAUAACAGGCUGAUCUCCCCCAAGAGCUCACAUCGACGGGGAGGUUUGGCACCUCGAUGUCGGCUCAUCGCAUCCUGGGGCUGGAGCAGGUCCCAAGGGUAUGGCUGUUCGCCAUUUAAAGCGGUACGCGAGCUGGGUUCAGAACGUCGUGAGACAGUUCGGUCCCUAUCUGCCGUGGGCGUAAGAAGAUUGAAGAGAUUUGACCCUAGUACGAGAGGACCGGGUUGAACAAACCACUGGUGUAGCUGUUGUUCUGCCAAGAGCAUCGCAGCGUAGCUAAGUUUGGAAAGGAUAAACGCUGAAAGCAUCUAAGCGUGAAGCCAACUCUAAGAUGAAUCUUCUCUAAGCUCUCUAGAAGACUACUAGUUUGAUAGGCUGGGUGUGUAAUGGAUGAAAGUCCUUUAGCUGACCAGUACUAAUAGAGCGUUUGGCUUAUCUUUAAUAAAGCAU
This 1177-nucleotide ribosomal RNA is filed under the name Campylobacter jejuni. Its description in RNAcentral is "partial 23S ribosomal RNA". It matches the Rfam family "Bacterial large subunit ribosomal RNA", at positions 1742 to 2925 of the family's 2925-position model. The record is from RNAcentral. Lineage: Bacteria; Pseudomonadati; Campylobacterota; Epsilonproteobacteria; Campylobacterales; Campylobacteraceae.